Long non-coding RNA from Myotis myotis, 942 nucleotides. RefSeq lists it as uncharacterized. The transcript has 3 exons. The record is from RefSeq and is a predicted model, not a curated record. NCBI's taxonomy places the organism in Eukaryota, Metazoa, Chordata, Mammalia, Chiroptera, Vespertilionidae.
GCAGUGCGCAGUCGCGGGCCCCGCGAGAGCCGGGGCGCUGGCGCCAUCUUGUUCUCCACAGCGCCUGGCGGAAGGACGGUCGUGGGCGGGGCUGGCGGGCAGGUGCCGAGCCUUCAGACCCCUGGUCUCCGGCGCUGACGAUGAAAAAACUAAGAACUAAGAGAGAGGUGGAGAACUAAGAGAAGAAAAGCCAUUCACAUGAAAUUACACACCACGAAUAAACGUUCUGUUCAACAGAUGCUUAAUGUCCCUGAUCUUUGGCCUGCUCUCAGCCGCAGCCAGCACUCAAGUCCUCCUGAGGAUAGGCUGGCUUCAGGGAAAAGUAUUCUCUUACCUACUCUCAUGCCACCCCUUCAUCCAUUCGUUGCACCUGGUCCUUUUUAGCUUUGUUUACUCCUCUCCAUAAAAGAAGCCCCCCUUUUGUCCAGCCCUUGAGACACUUGCAGAUCUUAUGGUCAUAGCGCUGUGUCCAUUACAAUAGACCCCCUCCCCUGAUUGUAAUAGUCCCUUCCCUCCCAGGCAAUAAUCCUUUCAAAUAGUCUCCCUUUGCUAAAUCCGGAUCUGUUUUUUAUUUGACAGGUGUUUAUUUUGGGGAUGAUAACAAUGUUCUAAAAUUGAUUGUGGUUGCCAACUCUGUGAAUGUACUAAAAACCAUUGAAUUGAACACUUUAAAUAGGUGAAUCGUGUAUCACAUAAAUUAUGCCUCAAUAAAGCUGGGGUUUAAAAUUGUUUUUAGCAGUUUUGAAGGCUGUUUUUUUAAAAAAGGAAGAAAAAAAGUUAGCAAAUGGGACUAGAAAUAAAUAAAAAUAAUAGCCUCCCAAAAGACCAUAAAGGAGACUCUCAAUGACAGCAGUGCUAAAUCCUGCUGAGUUUAAAUAAAAUUAGAAAAGGAGAGAUCAUUGGUAGAAUAUGGGGUCUAUUACUGACUUUUCAAUGCUCUUU